This is a non-coding RNA of Pelobates cultripes (western spadefoot toad), 266 nucleotides long. NCBI's taxonomy places the organism in Eukaryota, Metazoa, Chordata, Amphibia, Anura, Pelobatidae. The record is from the annotation of a GenBank genome assembly.
CUUUGCUGCCCCUCGGGCAUACCAAGACUACAAACCGGCUCCAUUCUUUCCCUCACGUGGGAGACCAUGGCAGAAUCGAGGUGGACGUGGUCAACCCUCAUACAGACGCCCUUACGGUAAGUUCCCCCAUACGGGCAUUUUCUUAUUCAAAUGUGGGUGGCAGACUGGCACUGUAUUUCGAUAUGUGGGGACUGAUCACCACAGAUGUGUGGGUUCUGAAUACGAUCAAGGGUUUCCGCCUAGAUCUGUUAUCUCUCCCUGUCCAG